This 459-nucleotide ribosomal RNA is filed under the name uncultured bacterium. RNAcentral describes it as "partial 16S ribosomal RNA". It matches the Rfam family "Bacterial small subunit ribosomal RNA", at positions 338 to 795 of the family's 1533-position model. The record is from RNAcentral.
CCUACGGGAGGCAGCAGUGAGGAAUAUUGGUCAAUGGCCGGAAGGCUGAACCAGUCAAGCCGCGUGAGGGAGGAAGGCGCACAGCGUCUCAGACCUCUUUUGCCGGGGGACAAAAGGCCGGACUCGUCCGGUCCUGAGGGUACCCGGAGAAAAAGCAUCGGCUAACUCCGUGCCAGCACCCGCGGUAAUACGGGGGAUGCGAGCGUUAUCCGGAUUCAUUGGGUUUAAGGGGUGCGCAGGCGGGCCUUUAAGCUGGCGGUGAAAUCGCGGGGCCAAACCCCGCCGAGCCGUCGGAACUGGGGGCCUUGAGGGCAGCGGAGGAAUGCGGAAUGCGAGGUGUAGCGGUGAAAUGCAUAGAUAUCGCGCAGAACACCGAUUGCGAAGGCAGCGUGCCGGGCCGCAACUGACGCUGAGGCACGAAAGCGCGGGGAUCGAACAGGAUUAGAUACCCGAGUAGUC